Molecule: transfer RNA, 75 nt
Filed under: Moritella yayanosii
Lineage: Bacteria; Pseudomonadati; Pseudomonadota; Gammaproteobacteria; Alteromonadales; Moritellaceae
Also listed under: 13 other names
Description: tRNA-Gln
Rfam family: tRNA
About the family: Transfer RNA (tRNA) molecules are approximately 80 nucleotides in length. Their secondary structure includes four short double-helical elements and three loops (D, anti-codon, and T loops). Further hydrogen bonds mediate the characteristic L-shaped molecular structure. tRNAs have two regions of fundamental functional importance: the anti-codon, which is responsible for specific mRNA codon recognition, and the 3' end, to which the tRNAs corresponding amino acid is attached (by aminoacyl-tRNA synthetases). tRNAs cope with the degeneracy of the genetic code in two manners: having more than one tRNA (with a specific anti-codon) for a particular amino acid; and 'wobble' base-pairing, i.e. permitting non-standard base-pairing at the 3rd anti-codon position.
Source: RNAcentral
AGGGAUAUCGCCAAGCGGUAAGGCACCGGGUUUUGAUCUCGGGAUUCUGAGGUUCAAAUCCUCAUAUCCCUGCCA